Long non-coding RNA from Ornithorhynchus anatinus (platypus), 1115 nucleotides. RefSeq lists it as uncharacterized. The record is from RefSeq and is a predicted model, not a curated record. Lineage: Eukaryota; Metazoa; Chordata; Mammalia; Monotremata; Ornithorhynchidae. The transcript has 3 exons.
AAGACACGUUGUUGGGGCCGGAUGACCAAGGGGCAGAUCGGACCGUCUCUCUUCCUCUCCACAGAGGCCGCUUGACGCAUCUCCCCAGCUGGCAGUCUCUGGUCAUGCGGCGUGGACACGGUGAGGUCCGUCCCCAGAUUCACCCGGCUGUCGACGGAUGGAGCCAGAGGCUGCACUGCCAUGCGAAAGGGAAGCUCUGAGAUCACUGGUUUUCCUCGAUGACUACGGGAGAGACACACUGGUUGUUCAAGGCACCUCCAUGAUCUGAAGCCCCAUUGUCAUGCAGAGAGGGCACCGGUCGUAUUUUCAGAUCUGGGAGCGGGGGGGCGGGUAGGGAAGACCCCUGACCCCAUGGAGAGAUGGAACUAUGCUACCUCUCCAGUGGGAAGGGUUUUCCUGUAGGUGUGGGCAUUCACAUGAACAGUAGGGUUAAGUCUUGGGGGGAGAAGGGUUAGGUGGAGGCUGCCGUACUGUGUUCACAGGUCGGUUCUGGAAAAAAGAGGUCUGGACUUUGUGCAGGUUGCUGCCUUUGUCAUGACUGUGGGACCAAGAAGAAGCAGGGCCGUUAAUUCUAAGGAUGGGUCACACCUUCCUGCAGCCAGUGUGCCGUCAGCAAGGUCACCCUGCAAACCCCCAAUCCCUGGAGAAGGGACUGGACUGGGCCUGCUGGUGGUGGCUUCCGCGAGGUCGGACUAGUGUCGGGAGGAAGCCAGGUUCCACUACUCCCGAUAAUAUUCAGCCAGGACUGGCAGGGAAGCUCCAGGAACACCUCGCUUCCAUCAGACCCAUGCUCCAGACUCUACUGCUCUCUACUCAGGGGAGGCCUUGGUGAUGAGUCACAGAUCUCUCCCUGCACUGGAUCUGUGUCCCAUUGGGUCAGAUGUAGACAGGAGUCCCACAGCACCCACACCCUGCAGCACAAACGCGGAAAAGGAGGACUCAAGUGAGAACCGGACCAGCUAUUACUCUCCAAACAGUGGCUGAUUAACCCCUCUCCCUGGUCUUGAGGACCAUCCCAUUGCAGUGUGGAUACAGUUAAAUCAAUUCUCACAUUUCCUCCACCCUGGAGAUCUAGAACUGGGAGACAUGUGCGUGGCUCAGUGGAAAGAGCAUGG